GCCUCGUUAGCUCAGAUGGUAGAGCGUCCGCUUCGUAUGCGGAAGGUCCCGGGUUCGAUCCCAGGCGACGGUA
Non-coding RNA from Aphanomyces invadans, 73 nucleotides. The record is from Rfam. NCBI's taxonomy places the organism in Eukaryota, Oomycota, Saprolegniomycetes, Saprolegniales, Verrucalvaceae.